RNAcentral lists this ribosomal RNA (593 nucleotides) under Klebsiella sp. T13. RNAcentral's name for it is "bacterial SSU rRNA". It matches the Rfam family "Bacterial small subunit ribosomal RNA", at positions 897 to 1490 of the family's 1533-position model. The record is from RNAcentral. Lineage: Bacteria; Pseudomonadati; Pseudomonadota; Gammaproteobacteria; Enterobacterales; Enterobacteriaceae.
AAACUCAAAUGAAUUGACGGGGGCCCGCACAAGCGGUGGAGCAUGUGGUUUAAUUCGAUGCAACGCGAAGAACCUUACCUACUCUUGACAUCCAGAGAACUUAGCAGAGAUGCUUUGGUGCCUUCGGGAACUCUGAGACAGGUGCUGCAUGGCUGUCGUCAGCUCGUGUUGUGAAAUGUUGGGUUAAGUCCCGCAACGAGCGCAACCCUUAUCCUUUGUUGCCAGCGAUUCGGUCGGGAACUCAAAGGAGACUGCCAGUGAUAAACUGGAGGAAGGUGGGGAUGACGUCAAGUCAUCAUGGCCCUUACGAGUAGGGCUACACACGUGCUACAAUGGCAUAUACAAAGAGAAGCGACCUCGCGAGAGCAAGCGGACCUCAUAAAGUAUGUCGUAGUCCGGAUUGGAGUCUGCAACUCGACUCCAUGAAGUCGGAAUCGCUAGUAAUCGUAGAUCAGAAUGCUACGGUGAAUACGUUCCCGGGCCUUGUACACACCGCCCGUCACACCAUGGGAGUGGGUUGCAAAAGAAGUAGGUAGCUUAACCUUCGGGAGGGCGCUUACCACUUUGUGAUUCAUGACUGGGGUGAAGUCGUA